Molecule: ribosomal RNA, 1424 nt
Filed under: metagenome
Description: bacterial SSU rRNA
Rfam family: Bacterial small subunit ribosomal RNA
Source: RNAcentral
GGAUGAACGCUGGCGGCGUGCUUAACACAUGCAAGUCGAACGAUCCUUCGGGAUAGUGGCGGACGGGUGAGUAACGCGUGGGAAUCUGCCCUCAGGAGGGGGAUAACGGCUGGAAACGGCCGCUAAUACCCCAUAUGCCGAGAGGUGAAAUGAAUUUCGCCUGAGGAUGAGCCCGCGUCUGAUUAGCUAGUUGGUGGGGUAACGGCCCACCAAGGCGACGAUCAGUAGCUGGUCUGAGAGGAUGAUCAGCCACACUGGGACUGAGACACGGCCCAGACUCCUACGGGAGGCAGCAGUGGGGAAUUUUCCGCAAUGGGCGAAAGCCUGACGGAGCAACGCCGCGUGAGGGAUGAAGGCCUCUGGGCUGUAAACCUCUUUUCUCAAGGAAGAAGACCUGACGGUACUUGAGGAAUAAGCCACGGCUAAUUCCGUGCCAGCAGCCGCGGUAAUACGGGAGUGGCAAGCGUUAUCCGGAAUUAUUGGGCGUAAAGCGUCCGCAGGCGGCUUUGUAAGUCUGUUGUUAAAGCGUGGAGCUUAACUCCAUUUAAGCAAUGGAAACUACAAGGCUGGAGUGUGGUAGGGGCAGAGGGAAUUCCCGGUGUAGCGGUGAAAUGCGUAGAUAUCGGGAAGAACACCAGUGGCGAAGGCGCUCUGCUGGGCCAUAACUGACGCUCAUGGACGAAAGCCAGGGGAGCGAAAGGGAUUAGAUACCCCUGUAGUCCUGGCCGUAAACGAUGAACACUAGGUGUCGGGGGAAUCGACCCCCUCGGUGUCGUAGCCAACGCGUUAAGUGUUCCGCCUGGGGAGUACGCACGCAAGUGUGAAACUCAAAGGAAUUGACGGGGGCCCGCACAAGCGGUGGAGUAUGUGGUUUAAUUCGAUGCAACGCGAAGAACCUUACCAGGGUUUGACAUCCUGCGAACCCCUGAGAAAUCGGGGGGUGCCUUCGGGAGCGCAGAGACAGGUGGUGCAUGGCUGUCGUCAGCUCGUGUCGUGAGAUGUUGGGUUAAGUCCCGCAACGAGCGCAACCCACGUCUUUAGUUGCCAGCAUUCAGUUGGGCACUCUAGAGAGACCGCCGGUGAUAAACCGGAGGAAGGUGUGGAUGACGUCAAGUCAUCAUGCCCCUUACAUCCUGGGCUACACACGUACUACAAUGCUACGGACAAAGGGCAGCAAGCUCGCGAGAGUUAGCAAAUCCCAUAAACCGUGGCUCAGUUCAGAUCGUAGGCUGCAACUCGCCUACGUGAAGGAGGAAUCGCUAGUAAUCGCAGGUCAGCAUACUGCGGUGAAUACGUUCCCGGGCCUUGUACACACCGCCCGUCACACCAUGGAAGUUGGCCAUGCCCGAAGUCGUUACUCCAACCCUUGUGGAGGAGGACGCCGAAGGUGGGGCUGAUGACUGGGGUGAAGUCGUAACAAGGUA